AUACUUACCUGGCAGGGGAGAUACCAUGAUCAAGAAGGUGGUUCACCCAGGGUCGAGCCAUUGCACAUGGGUUGAGCUGACCUCUGCGAAUUCCCCAAACGUGGGAAUCUCGACUGCGUAAUUUGUGGUAGUGGGGGACUGUGUUCGCGCUCUCCCCUU
This is a non-coding RNA of Doryrhamphus excisus (bluestripe pipefish), 159 nucleotides long. NCBI's taxonomy places the organism in Eukaryota, Metazoa, Chordata, Actinopteri, Syngnathiformes, Syngnathidae. The record is from RefSeq and is a predicted model, not a curated record.